GAUGAAGAACGUAGCGAAAUGCGAUACGUAAUGUGAAUUGCAGAAUUCAGUGAAUCAUCGAAUCUUUGAACGCAUAUUGCGCUCUCUGGUAUUCCGGAGAGCAUGCUUGUUUGAGUAUCAGUAAACACCUCAACUCCCUUUUCUUUUUUGAAAUGGGAGCUGGACUUGAGUGAUCCCAACACUUUUCUCACCGGAAAGUGGCGGGUCACUUGAAAUGCAGGUGCAGCUGGACUUUUCUCUGAGCUAUAAGCAUAUCUAUUUAGUCUGCCUAAAAAACAGAUUAUUACCUUUGCUGCAGCUAACAUAAAGGAGAUGAGUUCUUGUGCUGACUGAUGCAGGAUUCACAGAGACAGCUUUGCGGCUGACUUUGUAAACUCGAUCUCAAAUCAAGUAAGACUACCCGCUGAACUUAAGCAUAUCAAUAAGCGGAGGA
Molecule: unclassified non-coding RNA, 433 nt
Filed under: soil metagenome
Description: partial contains 5.8S ribosomal RNA, internal transcribed spacer 2, and large subunit ribosomal RNA
Rfam family: 5.8S ribosomal RNA (bases 1-120)
Source: RNAcentral